Molecule: long non-coding RNA, 1693 nt
Organism: Parus major (Great Tit)
Lineage: Eukaryota; Metazoa; Chordata; Aves; Passeriformes; Paridae
Exons: 2
Source: RefSeq, a predicted model, not a curated record
UUUAAUGGAAAUCACUCUGCUUUUAUCCAUCUGUCUCUAUUGUUCAGGAGACCAAGCCUGCUUGACCUGCUCUGUGGAAGAGAGUGACAUUGAGAACAUGACUUAGUAUGAAAGGGCCAGUAUAGCUGUCACUAAUUAACCUUUCUUUUUUAAUAUUAAGUUAAUUUUGAAACUUGUACUGCUGAAUCACACCUCUGUUAGAUUUCCACUCUUCCUUCCCCAUCUCACAAACUCCUCUUCCUCCUGAGCUUUUUCCCUGGCACAUGUGGCUCUUCCAUGUACAAUGCCAAGAUGUCAUGGACAUGAAACAGGUACCACAAGCCUCUGGAGCAUGUCAGAGAUACCCACAGCAUGCAUUGGCAGAGCAGAGCCUCACACACAGAAAUAAAAUUUCACUCUAUUCUUGUUCUCCAAAACUGGAUUGUUGAGGAUAAAACUUAUCCCAGAACCAUGUUAUAUAAGAGAGAGGAAUUUUCUUGUGGGAAGAUGUGCUAAUAUUCAUUUGACUGAGAGUCCAGGGGGGAAGAGGACCUGUGUUAGGUUCAGAUAUUAUUUCAUGCCAGAGAUCAGAUCCCAUGCAGAGCUCAGAGCACUGCACCUGAUUUUCCUGUCACGGGCACCAGCUCCCACACUGGUCUGCCAAUGCCACAUGGAUGUAGAAUCUCCAUGAGAGGAGGUUUUCCACUGCCCAAAGUGCUAAUAUUACAUUUUUGAUGAUCACUGUCCUGUUUUCCACAGUUUCUUUCCAGCAACUUUGGGCUCAGACAGUCCUGCAGAAUUUCCAGUUUCCCCUGUUAGACAUGAAAUCUCCCAGCUGAGCUCUGAGGGUUUCCUACCCCAUCAGGGAGUCUGGUUAUUUCUGCUUAUGUCUCUGAUCACAUAAAUCUAUCCAUUUCAAAUCUAUCCAUUUCUCUACUCGAUGAUGUCUUUCAUCCCCUUAAAAACAAAUACAAGACAUCGUUGGUCCUCAUUAUUUAAUUUUCAAGGACUAUACAUUGAUCGUUAAAUAAAGUUGUCAGGGGUGAAUUAACUCAUCCCCACUCUUGCAAACUUACAAAUUAAGUUGAAAGAGACCUUAGCUUUUGAAUAUUGUUCCAGCACCAACUGUCUUCCAACUCAAACCUGUCUGCACUGUCACAACCUGUGAUCUCUGCACACUCCUUGUUUUGUUUGGAUCAUGUUUAACCCCAAUUUGUGCUGAAACGGAGCCACGCACGAGGCGUCAUGGAUAUGGGCACAGUGAUGGACAGAUCCAGAUGGUAAUUCCAGGCAUGGAGAAGGGUCAGGAAGCACACAGUUACCCCCAUCAGCCAGGAGCUCAUCUUCUCACAGACUGGACUACUUAGGAGGGAGCGCACGGUUAAUGUGGAAAUUAAUUCGGGGUCGUGACGAAGCAGAAGGGAGCUGCUGCACGUUUGAAUGCAUCUUCUCUCCUUGUUUCUUUGCAUAAAUAUCAUCCUGGCAAUAUCUCAGUUGUGGUUCACACACUGUGGCAUGGACACCUGCCAGCAUCACCAGCACCAUCUUUGCAGAUGGGGAAAAACAGAGACAAAAUCAUACUGGAGUUACACAGUGCCACUCAGCAAGGCCAUGGGAGGUGGAGAAGUAGAAAGACAUCUUUGCUUUGCUAUGACCAGGUGGAGGAGAGGUGAAGUAAAUUCAUUCUGAGCAGAAUAAAAUCAGAAUGGUUGGA